CCCAUCAGCGAAGAUGAGCUCAUCUCCUUCAUCAUCGCCGGCCUCGACAUGGAAUAUCAGCCCAUCAUAUCCGCUCUUGACGUGCGUGUUGAUCCUGUCUCCACCGAUGAACUCUUUGGCAUGAUCUCCAACUUUGAUC
Molecule: small nucleolar RNA, 139 nt
Filed under: Triticum urartu
Lineage: Eukaryota; Viridiplantae; Streptophyta; Magnoliopsida; Poales; Poaceae
Description: Small nucleolar RNA Z247
Rfam family: Small nucleolar RNA Z247
About the family: Z247 is a member of the C/D class of snoRNA which contain the C (UGAUGA) and D (CUGA) box motifs. Most of the members of the box C/D family function in directing site-specific 2'-O-methylation of substrate RNAs.
Source: Rfam by way of RNAcentral